This 305-nucleotide ribosomal RNA is filed under the name uncultured fungus. RNAcentral's name for it is "eukaryotic LSU rRNA". The stretch from base 1 to 121 matches the Rfam family "5.8S ribosomal RNA", at positions 33 to 154 of the family's 154-position model. The record is from RNAcentral. Lineage: Eukaryota; Fungi.
UCGAUGAAGAACGCAGCGAAAUGCGAUAAGUAAUGUGAAUUGCAGAAUUCAGUGAAUCAUCGAAUCUUUGAACGCACAUUGCGCCCCCUGGUAUUCCGGGGGCAUGCCUGUUCGAGCGUCAUUUAUACCAAUCUAGCCUGGCUAGGUGUUGGGCUUCGCCGGCUGGCGGGCCUUAAAACCAGUGGCGGUGCUCUUAGGCUCUACGCGUAGUAAUUUUCUCGCUAUAGGGUCCUGGGAGAUGCUGGCCAGCAACCCCAAAUUUCUAGGUUGACCUCGGAUCAGGUAGGGAUACCCGCUGAACUUAA